AAUAAAAAGUAGAAGAAUCAAUUACUUCGGUUGACUUGACACGGUUGCCGAGAAGAUGGAAGAAGAAGGGGAAAGGGAAGGAAUCGAAGCGAAGCUUUUGAUUUUCUUGGAUGAAUCAAUUUUUUUUUUUUAGGGACAAAGAACGCGCCAUCGGAAAGAGCAAGGUGAUGAUACCGUAGUUCAGUCACCAACUAUGGCACACAAAAGACCAAUGCUGGAAAUUACACGACCGUCCACCAAAUGGCAAGCGACGUCCUCCAAAUGAUAAGUCUAAAUCUGAGCUCUCGUUAGUGAAGCUAUUAAUGGUGCUCCCCAAGUGACCAGUUAUGUUGAUCCAAGUACAGUUGGGAUCGACAAUAUUGUCCAAUCAGGACCUGAGCUUGGGGAAGACGAUUGGCACUCUCCAGCACGAUAGGGGCUCUAUUUCCUUUCUGAUGAUGCUUCUUCUAGGAGUUUGUCUAGGAUUAGUUUGUUAUCUUCUCUUACUGUUUAUGAAACUGACUAAUUAUUAUGGCACUUUCGUAUUGGACAUCCAAGCUUUCAUUAUAUGAAAUACUUGUUUCCCCA
Long non-coding RNA from Benincasa hispida (wax gourd), 567 nucleotides. RefSeq lists it as uncharacterized. NCBI's taxonomy places the organism in Eukaryota, Viridiplantae, Streptophyta, Magnoliopsida, Cucurbitales, Cucurbitaceae. The record is from RefSeq and is a predicted model, not a curated record.